Molecule: non-coding RNA, 503 nt
Organism: Malus domestica (apple)
Lineage: Eukaryota; Viridiplantae; Streptophyta; Magnoliopsida; Rosales; Rosaceae
Source: RefSeq, a predicted model, not a curated record
UUUAUUUUUUAUUCUUUCUUCUGAAAAGUCUUCCUCUUUCUCUCUUCUCCCUCACUCUCCCUUAUCACUCCCUCUCGCCGUUCUCUAUCUCAGCCCCUCCGAGGGUUUUUCUUACCAACAAUCAACACCACAAUAACAUCAACAUCUCCAUUAGCACCUUAGUGAGCUUAGAAUCGAAGAAAGAACACCUAAACCCUCAUCUUCCAUUCGGCCGGUACUGUUCAUCAUCUUUCCUGAUGAGUUUCGUCAUUUUCCAACAUUGGAGCAAUUAUUGUGGCGUUCUGUCUCCGCUAGUUUGCGUGGCUCUUCGGCGGCUAAGUAUUUGACUUAGAAUCGAAGCAUACAAUUCCGACGUCAAGGCACUUCCGCAUCGGAAUCUUCAAGUCUUCUCGGUGUAGGAUUCAUCAUUUGUUUCAUUAAAUUUUAUAUUAUUCUUUUAAUGUUCUAGUUAGUUGUAUGCUCUAAACACGUUCCUUAAAUGCACAUUCUUUAUUCUCUAUCUA